Molecule: long non-coding RNA, 406 nt
Filed under: Chloebia gouldiae (Gouldian finch)
Lineage: Eukaryota; Metazoa; Chordata; Aves; Passeriformes; Passeridae
Description: Erythrura gouldiae (Gouldian finch) lncRNA (ENSEGOG00005003041.1)
Source: RNAcentral
GAACAGUAUUAAAUGACUGCACAGGAGAGCAUACUUCACACUCCAAAAAUUUUCAUGAGCUCAAAGACAGUAUUAGCAGCCUUUCUUUUUGGGUCUUCCAGAGACAUGCUGCCUGCUUAAACAUGGUGGGACCAAACCAGCUCUGUCCUCCUUGUACUGCACACAGGCGGUGCUGCUUACUGCUGAUGGAAAAUAACACAUCCUACAAGUAGGGUCUUCCACAAUGGCAAGUCCAAGAGACGAGGGCUGAGAUUUUUAUAGCUGGACAUUCAUGUCAGAGGAGAAGAGGAGAAAGGCAAUUUCUCUGCUUGGAGUAGGAACCAGCCCAUCUUUCCUUUUGCCAUCCCUAGAACUGGGCCAGAUCCUCAGUAAAUACAAAAAGGUUGAGCAUCCCCAAAAUCAAUGA